GAUAAACGCUGGCGGCGUGCUUCAUGCAUGCAAGUCGAACGGUUUUCCCGCAAGGGAAGGCAGUGGCAAACGGGUGAGUAACACGUAAGUAACCUGUCCUUAAGUGGGGGAUAACACUUCGAAAGAAGUGCUAAUACCGCGUGUGGUCCUUUCACAUAAGUGGGAGGUCUAAAGCCGCAAGGCGCUUGAGGAGGGGCUUGCGUCUGAUUAGCUAGUUGGGAGGGUAACGGCCUACCAAGGCGAAGAUCAGUAGCUGGUCUGAGAGGACGGACAGCCACACUGGGACUGAGACACGGCCCAGACUCCUACGGGAGGCAGCAGCAAGGAAUAUUGUGCAAUGGGCGAAAGCCUGACACAGCGACGCCGCGUGAGGGAUGAAGGCUUUCGGGUUGUAAACCUCUUUUCUCAGGGAGGAAUAAUGACAGUACCUGAGGAAUAAGUCACGGCUAACUACGUGCCAGCAGCCGCGGUAAUACGUAGGUGGCGAGCGUUAUCCGGAUUUAUUGGUACG
Molecule: ribosomal RNA, 511 nt
Filed under: uncultured bacterium
Lineage: Bacteria
Description: bacterial SSU rRNA
Rfam family: Bacterial small subunit ribosomal RNA
Source: RNAcentral